RNAcentral lists this transfer RNA (69 nucleotides) under Lemmiscus curtatus (Sagebrush vole). RNAcentral's name for it is "tRNA-Asp". The record is from RNAcentral. Lineage: Eukaryota; Metazoa; Chordata; Mammalia; Rodentia; Cricetidae.
GAGAUAUUAGUAAAACUAAUUACAUGACUUUGUCGAAGUCAAAUCAUAGGGUAUAACCUAUAUAUCUUA